Molecule: long non-coding RNA, 456 nt
Organism: Carassius gibelio (silver crucian carp)
Lineage: Eukaryota; Metazoa; Chordata; Actinopteri; Cypriniformes; Cyprinidae
Exons: 3
Source: RefSeq, a predicted model, not a curated record
UUAGCUGUCAAAUCUUUUCGAGACAUUUCCUUCCUUCCUAAGAGUCACUGUGCUAUCCUUCAGGAAGGGCUCAGUCGUUACCACAACAGAUGUCAUUUUCAACUCUACACAGGAUGAUGUCCCAACAGAGGAUCAAGUUGCAAGCACAUUACUGAGUGGAAAAGCUACUCUCAAUGCCCUAAACAUAACUUCGUUAACAGUUAAUGGUACAGAUUACUCAUCAACCACAACAACUGCUCCAGAAACAUUUACAACAACAGAGACUUCUACAAUCACAACAACUGCUCCAGAAACAUCAAUCACUAGUAUAGCAGAAACAUCUACAACAACAGAUACUUCCACAAUCACAACAACUGCUCCUGAAACAUCUGCAACAACAGAGACUUCCACAAUCACAACAACUGCUCCUGAAACAUCCACCACUAGUGCAGCAGAAACAUCUACAACAACAGAGAC